Molecule: ribosomal RNA, 1242 nt
Filed under: metagenome
Description: bacterial LSU rRNA
Rfam family: Bacterial large subunit ribosomal RNA
Source: RNAcentral
UGAAUACGAGACGCUAAGGCGUCGAAGUAGUGUAUGUCAUACUUCCAAGAAAAGCUUGCACUGUCAUAGAUAAAAAACGCCUGUACCAUAACCGACACAGGUGGGUAGGUAGAGUAUACUAAGGGGCGCGAGAUAACUCUCUCUAAGGAACUCGGCAAAAUAACUCCGUAACUUCGGGAGAAGGAGUGCCUUAUUCGUAAGGUUGCAAUAACAAGAUCCAAGCAACUGUUUAUCAAAAACACAGGUCUCCGCUAAGUCGUAAGACGAUGUAUGGGGGCUGACGCCUGCCCAGUGCCAGAAGGUUAAAGAAGUUGGUUAGCAAUUGCGAAGCUGAUAACUGAAGCCCUGGUGAACGGCGGCCGUAACGAUAACGGUCCUAAGGUAGCGAAAUUCCUUGUCGGGUAAGUUCCGACCCGCACGAAAGGCGUAAUGAUUUGGAUACUGUCUCGGAGAGGGGCUCGGUGAAAUAGACUUGUCUGUGAAGAUGCGGACUACCUGCACCAGGACAGAAAGACCCUAUGAAGCUUUACUGUAACUUGAAAUUGAAAUUGGACUUUAUUCGCGCAGUAUAGGUGGGAGGCGUUGAUUAUAAUCUUGUGGGAUUAUUGGAGCCAUCAGUGAGAUACCACUCUUGUAAUGUUAGAUUUCUAACUUUGAAUCAUUAUCUGGUCAAAGAACAGUUUCAGGCGGGCAGUUUGACUGGGGCGGUCGCCUCCUAAACGGUAACGGAGGCGUACAAAGGUUUCCUCUGAACGGUUAGAAAUCGUAUCUAGAGUGUAAAGGCAUAAGGAAGCUUGACUGUGAGACCUACAAGUCGAGCAGGGACGAAAGUCGGUCUUAGUGAUCUGACGGUACUGAGUGGAAAGGCCGUCACUCAACGGAUAAAAGUUACUCUAGGAUAACAGGCUGAUCUCCCCCAAGAGUUCACAUCGACGGGGAGGUUUGGCACCUCGAUGUCGGCUCAUCGCAUCCUGGGGCGGUAGUACGUCCCAAGGGUUGGGCUGUUCGCCCAUGAAAGCGGUACGCGAGCUGGGUUCAGAACGUCGUGAGACAGUUCGGUCCAUAUCCGGUGUAGGCGUUAGAAUAUUGAGAGGAGCCUUCUUUAGUACGAGAGGACCGAGAAGGACAUACCUCUGGUGUACUAGUUAUCGUGCCAACGGUAAACGCUGGGUAGCUAUGUAUGGAGUGGAUAACCGCUGAAAGCAUCUAAGUGGGAAGCCCACCUCAAGAUAAGUAUUCUCA